Molecule: transfer RNA, 73 nt
Filed under: Apaloderma vittatum (bar-tailed trogon)
Lineage: Eukaryota; Metazoa; Chordata; Aves; Trogoniformes; Trogonidae
Rfam family: tRNA
About the family: Transfer RNA (tRNA) molecules are approximately 80 nucleotides in length. Their secondary structure includes four short double-helical elements and three loops (D, anti-codon, and T loops). Further hydrogen bonds mediate the characteristic L-shaped molecular structure. tRNAs have two regions of fundamental functional importance: the anti-codon, which is responsible for specific mRNA codon recognition, and the 3' end, to which the tRNAs corresponding amino acid is attached (by aminoacyl-tRNA synthetases). tRNAs cope with the degeneracy of the genetic code in two manners: having more than one tRNA (with a specific anti-codon) for a particular amino acid; and 'wobble' base-pairing, i.e. permitting non-standard base-pairing at the 3rd anti-codon position.
Source: Rfam by way of RNAcentral
GGCCAGUUAGCUCACUCAUUCAAGCAUGGCACUAACAACGCUAAGGUCGUGGGUUCAAUUCCCAUUCGGUCCC